UUAUUACUCCCUCCGUCCCAAAAUAAGUGUCUCAACUUUGUACUAACUCUUUGUACUAACUUUAAUACAAAGUUGUACUAAACUUGAGACACUUAUUUUGGGACGGAGGGAGUACUUG
Triticum urartu is the source of this 118-nucleotide non-coding RNA. The record is from Rfam. NCBI's taxonomy places the organism in Eukaryota, Viridiplantae, Streptophyta, Magnoliopsida, Poales, Poaceae.